GCCCAAGUGGCGGAAUGGUAGACGCAGGGGAUUCAAAAUCCCCCGGUAGUGAUACCGUGCCGGUUCGAGUCCGGCCUUGGGUA
This is a transfer RNA of Ruegeria sp. ANG-R, 83 nucleotides long. It matches the Rfam family "tRNA". Rfam says of the family: Transfer RNA (tRNA) molecules are approximately 80 nucleotides in length. Their secondary structure includes four short double-helical elements and three loops (D, anti-codon, and T loops). Lineage: Bacteria; Pseudomonadati; Pseudomonadota; Alphaproteobacteria; Rhodobacterales; Roseobacteraceae. The record is from Rfam.